GACGGGGCUGUGAGCACUGCUGAGCUGUGGGUGUCCCUGUGCGCUGCAGGGAGCGGCACCAGGCGGCCUUCAGCUCCCUUCCACCCAAACCAUGCUGUGAUUCCAUGGCCAUGGCCUCAGUGGAGUACAGAGUUCAUCACUGACCAAAUAAACCACAAGCGGCCAGAUGAGCUAUUAUUGGGCAGACUGUUGGCCAAAUAAACUGCUGUUGAAUGGGUAAACCAUCAGUCAGAUAUCUCCACUUGUCCCCAUCCUCACCAGGGAAGGGCUGUUCUGUUUUAACAGUGGCAGCCACUGGGGAGAUGGAGAACAGGCCCUGAGUGUUGCAAAUUAGGUUGAAAGUCUGGAGAAGAGGAGCUGGAACCGACUGAUGAGGCACAAAUUGGAAGCUGGGGUGGAUCUUUCUUUCUUUUUUUCUUUUCCUUUUUUUUUCCUCCCAGGGAAGUGUCAUUUGUACAAAUUGCCAGUUCGUGCCAGCUUGGGAGAGACCUCACAAGGGAAACCUGGAGCCUUCCCUGCUUUUCAUGUGAGCGGAUGCCCCUUUUAUUUCUGAGCAAGGAGUAAGUGGAGAAGAAAGGAGCCCCUGUCAGCCUCACGGAGACAAAUUGCUUCCUGCAGCAGAGGUGGCUCGGCGCUAACAACCACCCACUGCCAGAGGGCUGUGAGCAAGUGGAGCUCCUCGUCCUUCCAUGGGACCAGGCUGGCAUGUCACUGUCACCGCAUGCCACUGCCACUGCGUGCCACCACUCCUCCGCGCCCCGCAGCUCCAUCGGUGCGGAUGAGACGGCAGCUCAGCGGCUCUACCUGCGCCCAUGCUGGGGAGAGAAAAACCUGAUUUAAGUGGCUCACAAAUGUGUGGGUUAAAGGCGCGCUGCUGCAAAGGCAACAUGUUGAGAGCUGGAGCCAGAUGGAUGUGGAUGAGCAGCGCAGUGAAAAUUAUCAACCGCAGGAACAGCGGGGGAUUCCCUGCUCCGGGGAGACGUGAAAUCAGGGACAGAUUUGCUCUCUUGCAGCAUGCCCUGGGUCGCACAGGAGUUAAUCCAGAGCAGUUGCGAUUACGGAUUGUGCACUGAGGGAUCCUAAACGCUCCCUCUGAUCCAUGAUCCAAAACCACAGCCCCCAGCCACACAGCCCUCUGUGAAACCUCUUGCCAAAGACCUCCAUUUAGCGGUAAUUCCCUUUAUAGCUUAUUUUUGCCAUGCGGCUGCACACCCCAUUGUUUACCCGAGCACACAAGUCCCUGGCUCUUCUCCGUUCCAUUCUCUCUCAGCUGGCUGCCAUCGAGCUGAUUUCCCCCUCCUCCUGUGCUCUGCCACAGAGCCUAAAUCGACACAUCUGUUUUUAAAGAGAGGAGCAGUCCCAUCAUCCUCACUUUCAGCCCUGCACAUUCAACUCCUGCAGCCUCCAUGGGGCUGCCGUCACCGUGUUUGUGUAGGGCCUACAGAAAACGGGAGUGGGAAAACAACAGUGUAACAUUACAUGUUUGGUUUUGGUUUUUUUUUUCUUUUCUUUUUUUUUUUUUUGGAGCAUCAGGUUUCCUUCAUUGCAGCAGCAAUAAGAUGUUUCCAGCUUCUUUCUGUCUUCUGAUUGCGCUGAGAGCAUCCUGCAGAGCAGAGCGUUCGCUCACAGCCACAACCAGCUCUGAAGGGCUCAGAGCCAGCAGUGAGCUGGCUGCUCAAGUGCAGAGCAGACUUGGCUAAAGAGGGAAUGGACUGAUAUGCCCCCAAAUGUCAGCCCUGGCUCCUCACCAGCAAACCAUCCUUCAGCUUGCGUGUGUUUUGCACUUAGGGCAAACCAACGUUUAGAUGGAAAGUGGGUCAGCAUGAAUGCUUUGCAAAGGGGAAAUGAAGACCUGGAGGGGUUUCAUCCAUCCCACAUCCAGCAGAGCUCCUGGCCAGGUCCAUCCUGCUUGAGGACAUCUUUCCCUGCCCAUUAGCUAUGUUAAUGAAUCUGCAUCCCCAGCACCCUGCUGGUUCAUGCCCCUUGUUGCCAUCUCCCCUUUCUCUUGCCGUUCUUUUUCCCCCUUAGAAAUUUUGCAUUUCUAGCCUGCUUGUCAUAUUUCCUACCGGAUUGGGUGUUUAAUUAAAAUCAUAAUUAAAAUUGAUCUCCUCAUUAGCAUGCACCUGCUCUACUGCUCGCGUCCUGGCAUUUAAUUAUACGCUGAAGAUGUCAAGUCUGACAGGCGAGAACGAGACCCGGCCAGCAACCCCUGACAGGACUUCUUGGUGACAACAUCUGGGCAACGGGGACCCAUCUGCUGGCACAGCCGGGCAGCAGGACAUGGUGCUGGAAUGCUGGCAGGGCUGCCAUUGGUUUUGCUGGGGUUACCUUUUUAUUUUAAUAGCAGGAUAGUCACCCGCACUUCCUACUGGAAGUUUCCUAAGCCAAGAACUGGGUGGUGAGGAUGGGGAUUAAGUGGACACUGAGCCCCCCGUGCUCAUGCUGGUCAGGAUACGGUGCCUAGAGAGUUGUGCCAUCCCUUCUGCCAUCAACACACGAUCCUCAAGGUUUCCACCGUGGACAUGCACAGCUUUCUCUCCUCUUCUUGCUCACCAAACUCUAUCAAAAGCCAAAAAGGGGAUCCCUGCACCCCUCCAAAAAGGUCCAGUAGCAUGUGGUGCUUCCACUGUCCUGCUGGAAAUAGGGCCGCCCCUUUGGGUAGUUAUCAAAGAGAUUAUCAGAAUGGUUUCUGUGCACAGCAGAAGCUUAAAUCGCAUCUGCUCUUUUUCUGUACAUGCCAGGCAAUAAAGCUGCCAAAAGGCAUUUUUGGGGCCAUUAUAAACGAGGAGUUUUAUUCCCCUGCACUUUCAGAGUCUCUAACUGAUGGAUGAAGUUUCAGUGGGACUCAUGAAACGAUGACAGCUGACGCCAAGCAGACCCACCAGCUCCAGCAUCCUUGGGAGGGCUCAGUGGGAGCUGCAGCCAGGACCAGCUGAUAAUGCUGAGCAACGUGCUCGCAUGUAUCAGGGAGAGAUGAUGUGGAAACAAUACCUUAAGGUGCUGUUGCCCUUCCAUUUUUAUGGCUCCUUAUGAGGCUGGGGCCAUCAAAUGCCAGACACAGAGACCUUCGUGCAGCAAGAAGCAGAGCCGGCUGGAGCUGAGGCUGCAGCUUUAUGGCAUCCCAACACCAAAGCUGUGGAGGGUAUUUUGUUUGAGCGGGGAGCACUGGGGAUGUGGUAGGCACAUGGGGGCCUUUGCUGGAACAAGUUGUUUGUGUGAAGUGUCACAUGUGGCCAGAGCCUGGAAAACAGAUGUUCCCAUUUUUCUUUAAGGACGCUGUUAGCAGUAGAGGGCUUUAACAGUAACAAACACUUCAAUUAAAAAA
This is a long non-coding RNA of Lagopus leucura (white-tailed ptarmigan), 3325 nucleotides long. RefSeq lists it as uncharacterized. The transcript is spliced from 3 exons. NCBI's taxonomy places the organism in Eukaryota, Metazoa, Chordata, Aves, Galliformes, Phasianidae. The record is from RefSeq and is a predicted model, not a curated record.